UGAGGAAUAUUGCACAAUGGAGGAAACUCUGAUGCAGCAACGCCGCGUGGAGGAUGACGCAUUUCGGUGUGUAAACUCCUUUUAAGAGGGAAGAUUAUGACGGUACCUCUUGAAUAAGCACCGGCUAACUCCGUGCCAGCAGCCGCGGUAAUACGGAGGGUGCAAGCGUUACUCGGAAUCACUGGGCGGAAAGGGUGCGUAGGCUGACUUUUAAGUCAGGCGUGAAAUCCAAUGGCUUAACCAUUGAACUGCGCUUGAAACUGGGAGUCUAGAGUUCAGAAGGGGCAGAUGGAAUUAGUGGUGUAGGGGUAAAAUCCGUAGAUAUCACUAGGAAUAUCAAAAGCGAAGGCGAUCUGCUGGGAUGAUACUGACGCUGAGGCACGAAAGCGUGGGGAGCAAACAG
Molecule: ribosomal RNA, 403 nt
Filed under: uncultured bacterium
Lineage: Bacteria
Description: bacterial SSU rRNA
Rfam family: Bacterial small subunit ribosomal RNA
Source: RNAcentral